GAGGGUAUAGAUCAAGUGGUAGAGCACAUCCCUAGCAUGCAUGAGGUCCUGGGUUCAAUCCCCAGUACCUCCU
RNAcentral lists this transfer RNA (73 nucleotides) under Camelus bactrianus (Bactrian camel). It matches the Rfam family "tRNA". From Rfam's summary of the family: Transfer RNA (tRNA) molecules are approximately 80 nucleotides in length. Their secondary structure includes four short double-helical elements and three loops (D, anti-codon, and T loops). The record is from Rfam by way of RNAcentral. Lineage: Eukaryota; Metazoa; Chordata; Mammalia; Artiodactyla; Camelidae. RNAcentral also lists the same sequence under 3 other names.